Molecule: ribosomal RNA, 433 nt
Filed under: uncultured bacterium
Lineage: Bacteria
Description: partial 16S ribosomal RNA
Rfam family: Bacterial small subunit ribosomal RNA
Source: RNAcentral
AGCGAACGCUGGCGGCAGGCCUAACACAUGCCAGUCGAACGAACUCUUCGGAGUUAGUGGCGGACGGGUGAGUAACACGUGGGAACGUGCCUUUUGGUUCGGAAUAACUCAGGGAAACUUGUGCUAAUACCGAAUGUGCCCUUCGGGGGAAAGAUUUAUCGCCAUUAGAGCGGCCCGCGUCUGAUUAGCUAGUUGGUGAGGUAACGGCUUACCAAGGCGACGAUCAGUAGCUGGUCUGAGAGGAUGACCAGCCACACUGGGACUGAGACACGGCCCAGACUCCUACGGGAGGCAGCAGUGGGGAAUCUUGCGCAAUGGGCGAAAGCCUGACGCAGCCAUGCCGCGUGAAUGAUGAAGGUCUUAGGAUUGUAAAAUUCUUUCACCGGGGACGAUAAUGACGGUACCCGGAGAAGAAGCCCCGGCUAACUUCGUG